GUGCCACAUCUGUCCCAGCUGGCCACGGUUUGGUGCUGUGCAAUAGCAGUUGUCUGCUGUAGUUUAACUACCAACAGUGAGUUAUUCUGGGCCCUGCAGCUGGCAGGGACCCCAAGGCAGCAGUUCUAGGGCUCUGGAUGUCACCUGUUUAAGAUGUGCACUUAGGCUAGAGGCUGCAGCCUGUAAGGGCAGCGUCCUCUAAGCUUAGAGCCAGUGGUGCCACAGCGACUGGGCUGCUGACUGGGGCCAGUGGUGAGGUGGGGACAGUCCGGGACUCCCAUGCUGCACCAAGACCUCAGGCGGAAGGGCCCCGGGAUCUCCGUGCCUCCCGGUAGAGCAGAGCAGUUGCUGCUUGCUGCUCAUGAACUGCAACGAUUAUCUUACAGAAGCAGGAACACAGGCCCAGUUCAAUGAGAGCCCAGAAAACACCACCACAAAGGACAGCUGCCGAACUGCUGGCCGAUGCAGCAGGUGGUCCAGUGUGGCGUUCAGACAGCACUAGGCACGAGAGAGCGAGACCAUUGGGCAUGAGGAGGAGAGUUUUUAAACAACUGUUAGAAAUGAAAUAUAUAGUUACUGACAUAGAACCCCAAAUGCCCAGGUUAAAUAGCAGAUGAGGCAGGGCUGCAGGAAACUUGGGUAUAGUGGGAGACAUGCCCAAAGGCAUCCGGCAUACUCCCCAGGCCAAGGACACAGACACAGACAGAAAAUGUAAAGAGAUGUGUAAACAGAAGAAGGUCUGGCAUGGAUCUCAUAGUUCCAGGAGAGGAGACAGACCUGCAGGGUCACCCUGUGGAUAUGCAUGCAUAUUCAGCUUGAGCCUCCUGGUCCCCCUCCAACAGGGCCAAGGCUCUGAGUUUCUUCAGGUUGAGAGCUGCUGGCGACGGGGGCAGCCAUGGUGCAGUCAGCCUGGCGCUUUCUUAAAAUGUUACCUACCAGGUGACCCGGCAGUUCCACUCCUAGGUGUGUGGCCAUGAGAACUGAACACACAGACUCACCCGCGUGUUCACAGCAGCUUUACUCACAAAAGCCACGAAGUGGAAACGCAUGGAUCAACAAAACAAGGUCUGUCCACAUUGGGGAGGUCGAGCAGCAGAAAGGCAGGAAGCCGACAUGGGCCACAGCUCCAGUGAGCCUCCAGGACAGAGAAAAGGCAGGCAGACACAUGAGCCCACAAACCAAGGGCCCCGUCCAGACGCAUGAGCCCACAAACCAAGGGGCCCUCAGAACCCGGUUGGUUUCUGAGCUGGUGGAAAUGUCCAGAAGGCAAUGGCUAAGGGCAGCACAGCUCUGUGAAUGUACAAACCUCUCACUGCCCGUGAAGCCAGUGAGCUCAAUGUCACCAACACACAUCUCAACCCAGCCUCUAAAAGGAAGCGCUCCAGUGGCCCGGGAGCUCAGGGACAGGGAGCACAAGGCUGCAAAGCCUCUGCCCACUAGACCAGGCCACCUUUCUCAGACACUCGUGUACUGCCUCCCCUUUGUGCACAAAUAAUAUGCAGACAGUCCCCAACAUAUGAUGGUCUGAAUUAAGAUUUUUCAACUUUAUGAUGGUAUGAAAGCUAAAUGCAUUCGGUGGAAA
This is a non-coding RNA of Manis javanica (Malayan pangolin), 1582 nucleotides long. The record is from RefSeq and is a predicted model, not a curated record. Lineage: Eukaryota; Metazoa; Chordata; Mammalia; Pholidota; Manidae.